RNAcentral lists this ribosomal RNA (762 nucleotides) under uncultured Peptostreptococcus sp. Its description in RNAcentral is "bacterial SSU rRNA". It matches the Rfam family "Bacterial small subunit ribosomal RNA", at positions 28 to 776 of the family's 1533-position model. The record is from RNAcentral. Lineage: Bacteria; Bacillati; Bacillota; Clostridia; Peptostreptococcales; Peptostreptococcaceae.
GAUGAACGCUGGCGGCGUGCCUAACACAUGCAAGUCGAGCGAGGGUUUGCUCAGUAUUGAGUAUUCUAACAACUAGAAUGUUCAAUUCUGAGCAAAACCAAGCGGCGGACGGGUGAGUAACGCGUGGGUAACCUGCCCUAUACACAUGGAUAACAUACUGAAAAGUUUACUAAUACAUGAUAAUAUAUAUUUGCGGCAUCGCAGAUAUAUCAAAGUGUUAGCGGUAUAGGAUGGACCCGCGUCUGAUUAGCUAGUUGGUGAGAUAACUGCCACCAAGGCGACGAUCAGUAGCCGACCUGAGAGGGUGAUCGGCCACAUUGGAACUGAGACACGGUCCAAACUCCUACGGGAGGCAGCAGUGGGGAAUAUUGCACAAUGGGCGAAAGCCUGAUGCAGCAACGCCGCGUGAACGAUGAAGGUCUUCGGAUCGUAAAGUUCUGUUGCAGGGGAAGAUAAUGACGGUACCCUGUGAGGAAGCCCCGGCUAACUACGUGCCAGCAGCCGCGGUAAUACGUAGGGGGCUAGCGUUAUCCGGAUUUACUGGGCGUAAAGGGUGCGUAGGUGGUCCUUCAAGUCGGUGGUUAAAGGCUACGGCUCAACCGUAGUAAGCCGCCGAAACUGGAGGACUUGAGUGCAGGAGAGGAAAGUGGAAUUCCCAGUGUAGCGGUGAAAUGCGUAGAUAUUGGGAGGAACACCAGUAGCGAAGGCGGCUUUCUGGACUGCAACUGACACUGAGGCACGAAAGCGUGGGUAGCAAACAAG